UAAAAUAUUUUUCUAAAUUGUAUCGAUGGUCCCGGCCAUGGCCAAACCUUUAUUUUCCAAAGUACCAUCCAUGUUUUAAAAGCCAAUAAAGAAAACUAUUGCCAAUAAAGAACUAUUUCAAGCGUUGGUGAUGACACCCUUAAAACAGGACGAACAUGAAUUAUGGUGGAUUGAGGAUGACGCUCUCUUUCAAGCAUGUGGACUUAUCGUGGCUGCCGCGCAUAUAGGCAAGACUGUAUUUAUAACAUGGAACGAGAAUUAUUUGCUAAACUACCGAUUCAAGAGGACGAAAGAUAACUCUAAAGUAAAAAUUACUUCCGUUCGAAUUCCACUGCCCAAUAAGGGAGGAAGCUACCUUAAGAGUGUGCAUGCUCUAAGGUGCAAUACCAUCCUGCUUAUGUCAAAUGGAGAGGUAUACUGUUUCAUCUCAUUUAAAGCUGUGCAUUUAAUAAAAUGGCUCAGUGAAGUCCGCUGCUUGGCGAUUGUGGGCCAAGAAUUCAGCGUGAUUCGAAGGCAGGAGCAACGCAUGCUGUUGCAGACAUAUCUUGAUAUUCCUGGAAUAGAGAACGGCGAGAGCACGCUGCAACACACAUUCGACAUUACUUACUACGCAGAAAACAUAUUUCAGUGCGACUGGAACGACGAUAAGUACACUUUGACAUCUUUAAAGGUAUCCGAAAAAGAAGAACAUUUCGUGCAGAGCCUGCUUGGGACAAACGCGAUCAAAUACAACUACGUUCACAUUUUUAGCAUAAAUGGACAUGUGUUUGCAAUGGCUCAUGGACUUAGUGGGGUCUCCGAAACAGUCGGUCAAGACUAUCACAUUGAGCUCAUAUGCGUAUACACUACAAAUGUAAGGUUCAUCCAAUUUUUGCCAAAUGAAAACCUCUGCUUAGUGUUUCUUGACAGUGGCAGUGUGGGCAUGUGGUAUGUGUCCAGUGUCCUUAAAAUCAAACAAAGUCAAAUUCAUCAGACUGGUUCUCAAUGGCUUGACUACGACACAAGCGACAAUGGCGACGUCUACUACACGGACGGCAAGCAGCUAGUGCGGCUAAGAUUCAAGUACAACAUUCAGAUUGACGAGUGCAUUGUCCACACCUUGAGAAUGGCAGUCCCCGGCGUCCAGGUCUGCAGUUGGCUAUACCACAGAGAAGAAUUGGUUUGCCUGAGCGACAACAACAUAUUUUACUGCAUAGCCUUAUCCGAAGAAAAAGCAGCUGGUCGGUUCUCAAGGACGGACUUAAUUCCUGCAGCCAUCGAUCGACUGCAGUACAACGCCACUGCCUUGCAUUUAUCUAAAAUGCAGCCAGCUCUGCUCCAGAAAAACUUUCAGAUGGAGUAUAAAAAGCAGCAGCUCAUUUCUGUGAGUAAAAACAUUCACAGAUUCAGUUUGGCCUUUAAGGUGUAUAUGGAAUACCAUUGCCACGUUCCUAGCUGUGACGGGGAUGUCGUACAUCUGCAGCCCGCUCAGAGUCAAGGUCUUCACGCAGAUUGUAUAUUUGCAGUGUUAAAUUUUAUACUUGUCGACAGCCAGCCCCUCUUCAGCAGUUCGUAUUGGAGACUUUUGACAUUUUUUGAUCACCAUGUCCACGUCUACCUGCUGCCCACAGAGAUACUUGUGAAGAAAAAAUGUCGCAUGGUGAUUCCAAUUAGAAAACGGAAAAAUCAACUUCUACCGCGAUUCAAAUUGCAGCUUGUGGGAUUUAUUGAGGUUGAUAGCCAAAUAAAUGCUGUGUUUUUUCCAAUAUCAGCAGAGAAAUGCGAAUCGACUUACCGUGCUGUUUUUAGUGUAAGCCCAGCGGUAAGAAACCCUAGACCGAAUGAUCUACCGUCGUGUAAAAAACUAUGUGGACCGACAAUUAGACAGGAUAUUAGGCUAGCAAGUCAUUUGACUCUAUCUCGCAUAUCAGCUUUAUUUCGCGUUGCUGACUGCGUUACCUUUAACUUUUUAGAAUUGUACUUCGUAGACGAAAAGCUUACUUUUCGAUGCACUACAAAUGUAGGGGAAAUCAAUUUAACAGGGAUACUGGAAAGCGAAGAUGCUUCAGCAAUCUACUAUUUCAAGCAAAAUAUUAUUCUGAAUGCGGAAAUCCUGGAUUUACCCCCUGCACCACUAGAAAACGCUUUAACUUUAAAUAAAAUAUUGAAAUUUCAGUGCGAGUCUGAGAGAUUGUACGGAGCACAAAGUAAAGAUGUCUUGGACUACGAAAAGAUUUCUGAAGGAUGUUUGAAAUCAAAAUACAAUGCUAUUAGAACUGUCAUAACUUAAAUUUCCAUAUUGAGCAACUUAAUUUGCAUGCUUUUGCACAGUCCGGUUUUAACUUAGGUUCUUAAAAUCUCUGUCUACACGAUUUUACGUAAACUAUUUUUUUAUUUUAAAUUAUUAUUUUAUUUUAUUUUAAAUUAUCUAAUUCACAACCGUUUUUUUUUGUUUGAGCGAUCAAACAAAAAGUUUUUAUUUGUCGAAUGUAAAAUCACUUUAAAGAAUCGGGUCAUUCUUCUCCACCAAACACCGACAGUUCGAUCGUUUUAUAUUUUUAACUUUUACCGAAAUUUCUCUUGAGCCACUUAAACCUCUUAAGCUCUUGGUACGCAAACCUAAGCUAAACCUUUCGACUGGUGUACCAUCACAACAGAUUUCCAAUAUACGGCUAUAUAUAUUAGUCGCAUUUACACACACCCAGUGCGCUUCGUCUGUACGUGUACUGCCAUCCACAAUGAAAAGAAUUCCAAAAAAGAGUUAAUCAAGCCCCAUCCCGCAUUGCUCCGAUCGGGAUGAUUCUAUUUUAAAAAUAUACAUAUGCUUUCGUGCGUUGUUUCUAUGCGGUACCAAAAAUAAGCUGCACCAACUGCUAAGGUAGACGUUUUACUUUUGAGAUCGGCCACUACAUACACAUUGUACAAAUAAACAACUCUUA
This is an RNA transcript of Drosophila gunungcola (fruit fly), 2918 nucleotides long. RefSeq lists it as uncharacterized. The record is from RefSeq and is a predicted model, not a curated record. Lineage: Eukaryota; Metazoa; Arthropoda; Insecta; Diptera; Drosophilidae. The transcript is spliced from 3 exons.